Lupinus angustifolius (narrow-leaved blue lupine) is the source of this 70-nucleotide non-coding RNA. NCBI's taxonomy places the organism in Eukaryota, Viridiplantae, Streptophyta, Magnoliopsida, Fabales, Fabaceae. The record is from Rfam.
GGUAGAAUAGUUAGUUAACUUGUCAGGCUCAUGACCUGAACAUUGCAGGUUUGAAUCCUGGUUUCCAUCA